RNAcentral lists this ribosomal RNA (602 nucleotides) under uncultured Actinomycetes bacterium. RNAcentral's name for it is "bacterial SSU rRNA". It matches the Rfam family "Bacterial small subunit ribosomal RNA", at positions 884 to 1482 of the family's 1533-position model. The record is from RNAcentral. Lineage: Bacteria; Bacillati; Actinomycetota; Actinomycetes.
GGCCGCAAGGCUAAAACUCAAAGGAAUUGACGGGGGCCCGCACAAGCGGCGGAGCAUGCGGAUUAAUUCGAUGCAACGCGAAGAACCUUACCAAGGCUUGACAUGAACCGGUAAUACCUGGAGACAGGUGCCCCGCUUGCGGUCGGUUUACAGGUGGUGCAUGGUUGUCGUCAGCUCGUGUCGUGAGAUGUUGGGUUAAGUCCCGCAACGAGCGCAACCCUCGUUCUAUGUUGCCAGCACGUGAUGGUGGGGACUCAUAGGAGACUGCCGGGGUCAACUCGGAGGAAGGUGGGGACGACGUCAAAUCAUCAUGCCCCUUAUGUCUUGGGCUUCACGCAUGCUACAAUGGCCGGUACAAAGGGUUGCGCUACUGUGAGGUGGAGCUAAUCCCAAAAAGCCGGUCUCAGUUCGGAUUGGGGUCUGCAACUCGACCCCAUGAAGUCGGAGUCGCUAGUAAUCGCAGAUCAGCAACGCUGCGGUGAAUACGUUCCCGGGCCUUGUACACACCGCCCGUCAAGUCACGAAAGUUGGUAACACCCGAAGCCGGUGGCCUAACCCCUUGUGGGAGGGAGCUGUCGAAGGUGGGACCGGCGAUUGGGACU